AUUGUGGUGAUGGGCGGUGUUGGUGUUGGGAUUACAGGCGGCGGUGGUGUUGGGUUUGGAACUGCAGGUGGAGGGGGGCUGUGAAAAGUGAUAACAGGGAUUGAUUAUGAUUCAAAAAGGUAAAAGUUGUCAUACUUGGGUCUGUGCUAACAAGUUGAGCUGUUCCUC
This is a long non-coding RNA of Cucurbita maxima (winter squash), 168 nucleotides long. RefSeq lists it as uncharacterized. The record is from RefSeq and is a predicted model, not a curated record. NCBI's taxonomy places the organism in Eukaryota, Viridiplantae, Streptophyta, Magnoliopsida, Cucurbitales, Cucurbitaceae. The transcript is spliced from 2 exons.